Pimephales promelas (fathead minnow) is the source of this 4341-nucleotide non-coding RNA. Lineage: Eukaryota; Metazoa; Chordata; Actinopteri; Cypriniformes; Leuciscidae. The record is from RefSeq and is a predicted model, not a curated record.
GCGCUGCCAGCUGAUCGGGAGGAGAAGCCGGUAUGAGGGGAGUUGAAGCGGAGGCUCAGGACGCAGCGAUAUGUGGGCAAGAUUGUGAAAUUUAGGACGGUAGACAAAUGGUGUCGUGUUGAAGUUGACUAAUUACAUUGUUAAUGGUUUCUAUAGCACUCUUGCUGUUUGAGUGGGUUAGAAUUCGAUAUUUUAGCCGAGUCGGGCUUUAGCUCUUUGAUUCAGGAGUGAUUUGUGAUUAAGGUGUGGCUUUCAGCAAAGGGGCGAAAUGAGCUAUUUAAACUGUUUCAGAAUUUGCAUGUAUUUCUUGGAUUUUUAGCCUUGGUUUACAGUUAGGGUAAGGCAUUACAGUGGGCGAGAGAGCCUGGAAAUGGGAUCAGGACAUGACCCUGGUCGAUUCGAACUUGGGUUCCCAGUGAACCAACCGCUUUUAAAUGUCGCUACCUUUGUACCCCAGUUGAAUCAUAAGGAUUUCGCGAGAAUUUGAUGCGCGUGUCACUGGUGAGCUAUUUAAAUCCUGGAAGCAUUCGUUUACUGAACGGCGUCUAAUCGUUCAAUGACCGUUGCAACAUUCUCUAUAUAACUUUUCGGAAGUAUGUGAAACCACUUCAGAACGAAUGGAAUCUGUUACAUUCCAUUGGAAGAGAUCGCGAGAGCGCUCGGUUCAGAGUUGAGCCGUACAGGGCGUGAGCUCUCCGCUAGUAGACCGUAUGAGGGGAAAACCAUUGUGAAAUUAAAGGAUGUUGAGCGGAUAUUGGUAUCUAGUAGCCUAAUAUGUUAUAUCUGGAAGUCGAACAGUUUACCAGCCUGACAUUCGAAUCGAUCGACGACAGAGAUCGAGAAUUCUACCAGUUGAAGUAGCCUAACAUUUGGAGUGAAGACCUCGGUUUAAUACCAGUGCCAACGCUAUGUCAUUAAAUGGAUUUCUUCUUACGUCUGAAAUGACGUCCUCCUGUUGAAGGCAGCCAAGCUAGUUCACCUCAGCAGUACAGACUGUGAGCUGGCCCAGCUCUGUGGGAGGGUGGAGUCAGUCCAGCUCAGCAUGUAUCAGACAGCAUGAAGGGCCUCUGCAGACAGAAUGGAAUUUAUACCGUAUGUACCAGGCAUCCCAAGAAUGCAUGGCACAGAGACUUGACCAACGGAAAGAACUGUAGAAAACGCAGUGGAAAGGGGUGAGCACGCCUGAACCAAGACAAAGUCUGGGAGCCAAAAGGAGGAGCAGGAUGUAUGCGUGACGUCUGUGUCCCGGACGAACCCUUGGUAAGUCUUCCUGUUUACCUCGUCGUCUUUACAAACAAAUCAAAUCAAAAAGCUCUUCGGGUACAGGUGCGUUUUUCUCUAUAACGGUUUGUUACGAUUUCUUCCCCUUCCUGGCAUCUGCCGUUUUUUAUUUUAUUCUUUUCAUCUGUGCAUUUGUGAAUGGCAUCCAUUUCUCAAUGUCUUCACUUCUCCAUUUCUCACUGUUGCCUGCCCGCCGGUUGACUCAUGCUGUGAUUCAUGGCAGAAUUACUGGAGCCGCCUCAGCAUUUGAAGCAUAGCUGUAGGAACAGUGAUUGCCUGGCCUCUUUAGAGGGCCUGAUGCAGGCACAGCGAUGCCUGAUUAAGGACGAAGUCCAGAUGCAACUGUACAUGCCACUCUGUGCAUAUGUAAAGGAUGGUGAAUAAUGCACAAGACCUUCGUGACACGGAGGAGAAUGGGUAAUAGAGCGGAAGGGACAAGCUCAGACUCGGGCAUCUGCCCUAAAGUCACAUAAAAAAAAUCUUUGGACACUCUGGAUUUUCUCUUUCAGAGUGUCUCAAAAAGUGGCUUAAUGUGGCAAACUGGCAUCUGUACAAUGUGGAGGCAUUUGUUUCAAAAGUUCUUUAGCCACCAGUUGUAAAGAAAUGGCCACCCCCCCCCUCCCCCCACAUACAGAUGAUCUGCUUGCAUGUUGUGUCAUGUGGCAUUUCAUAACCAAAAUGGAUUCUCAUAUCCCUCAGGGAUUUAGUGGUUUCCUUCCAGAGAUUCUUACUGCAUUCUGCCAGUUUAUGGCUCCAACCUCGCAUUUUUCCACAGUAGCAGAAAGACAAGAGACUUUCAACCUCUGGGUGUGGUUCUCUCUCGUGCUCUCAUUUCUCAUUUUCUGCACUGCAUUCCCUCUGAAAGCCCCUGCUUGAUGGGACAAGCAUGACCGGAAUGUAACAUCUCUACCGUUGGCCAUGUCUCUGAGCGGUGAGCUUGCACCUUUAAAAACCGAUUUUCCCUAAUCUUUAUCUCGGCUCGGCUCAACCGUGCUCUUCUUUUGUUCAGAUUUACAAAAUUUCACUUUAAUUAAAAAUCCCCCUUUCACCCACCCCAUUUGGUCACUUCCCGAUUAUUAAAAUGAAAGCUGAAGGGAAUAACUAAUGCAUUGAUCCGUAACUCACAAUUAAUGCGUGGCUUUGAAUGAUGUAACGAUGCAAGUCAAGUAAGUGAACAUAUCUGUUUGGACAGAGGGUGUAACAGUGCUUUCUUUGAAAAUCUGACCUCUUCCCACUGUCUUCCAGAUGUUGGGCAAGCCUGUUAAACCUAAAACCUCUUUGCCAGUUGGAUUGAAGCGCAGCUUUGUCUUUCACCUGCUGCUCAAGCUGUUUGGUGUCUCCUGGUGAUGUGAGCAAGCUGUCGAUCUUGGACAGUGUCACUAAACAGCUGAUGCAACAGUUUAGGAGCAAUAGAAGUGGAGGUAAAAAGUGUUUUUAACACCACCCAGACUCCCAUCUUGAGCCAUCUUUGGGCUAUUGAUUAAUGGUUCAUUUGAAAUAGUUUCUUGGAGGUAAGAAGAGCUUUAGGGAGGAAAAUGUGAGCAGGCACAUACUUUACCAUUUCCCUUUGCCUUGUGGAGCAGCCUGACUGUAAUUGUUUGGGAAGCUUCCACAACUUUACAAUAAAUCACUUCUUGGGAACACUGUGUUCUAUGCGACAGGAUUCGUAGGCAUUGUGUGUUUGUUUGUAUAUGUCGGUGAGUCAGGGUAUGUGUGUGAGAGAGACAGCAAGAGUCCGGUGCUGACCACUUGUUAGCCUGUGGCUCUCUGAAGCGUCUUGACCAUCUUGUUCAGGCAUCAAACACCAUGCAACGGACUAGUGAAUUUUUUUUCGUUUCUUCUGAGAGUGGGUUGAAGAGAAGUCUCUGGCUUUUCCAUAACCACGUUACAACUUUUGAGAGCACAUAUAGUGUGAUACUGGACAGUGGUGUGUGGUUGUUUUUAAGUCUUGUAACCAAAGCUAUCAGCCCUCCCUGCCUGCAGUGUCCUGGACAUAGAAGGAUCUUAUCUCCGCCUUUAGACAAAGGACGAUUCAACCGCUCUGGUGUCUGAUAACAACAAGCUAAAGACUCCACAGAAGGGGGAAGCUGCAACCAAAUGUGAUUUUCCUUCCCUGAAAACAGCAUAGAUGCAGUGAGCAUUCAUUUCCUCUCUGGGUUUGUUCAGACAAUGUUUUUUCUUGCAUCUGUUGAUGCGCAAUAAAUCUAUAGCUUUUUGUUUAUCUGAUCUUUUUUAUAUUAUUAGUAUUGUAUCAGUUCAUAUUGGAUAUUUUAUUUCCUCUACUUUGCAUAACAUCUUUAUAAUUUAAAACAAUUUUCAAUUUAAUAUUUAAUUGAUUACUGGGAUUUGAAAAGCUAAAUACUUUCCAGCAGUAAACAAAGUUGGCAACAGUUAAAAACAAGGCCAAAAGCAGCGAGAGCUUUUACAACCUUUACAAUCAGGUGCUGAGGGGAAUUGUAUGAAUAAAUGUAUGAAUGAAUUAAGUUAUCUGAAUGUAUCUCUGAAGGGAACUGACUGUCUUUAGAAGUUUUGAUGGCAUUUUCUUCAUCUUACAUCUGUGUAAUGACUAAUAAAGUCAUUUUUAUAAGUGCAGCGCUGCUUUAUGUACAGCGUUUACCAGGCUCUAUUUCUGCUCUUCCAUAAGUGCUACCUACUGUCAGAGAGUGCAUUUACAUUUUCAUUGAGCUUGUCAGUACUUUGAACAUUUUCAGCACAUUAUAACAAUAUCUUGAUCAUUUUGGUCACUAUAAUCGUGAUAUGAAAUUUUCAUACCUUGUCAUCUCUUGCACAGAAUUAGCUCCUACUUCAACUGUGGUGCAUGAGAGAAUAUUCUCAGUCGCUGGACACAGUGUGCACAGGAAGAGGGCUGUUCUUGUGUCACCUGAAAAUGUUAACAAACUGGCAUGCCUUAGCAGCUGGUUAAAUGUUUACUAGAAAAGCAAGCCGACCUUACACUUUAGAAUAAGUUGUGUUGUGUCUUAGUUUUGGAAAUUGAAGAAUGUGAUUGUUUACUUUGCUGGAUAUAGCAAAUGGAAAAAAACAUGUUAAUAAAUGGUGAUG